AAGGCACAUAGCCGAAAUGGUAAAGGCAUCUGAUUGACUAUCAGAAGUAUCUGGGUUCGAAUCCCAGUUGCU
Molecule: transfer RNA, 72 nt
Filed under: Fimbriimonadaceae bacterium
Lineage: Bacteria; Bacillati; Armatimonadota; Fimbriimonadia; Fimbriimonadales; Fimbriimonadaceae
Description: tRNA-Val
Rfam family: tRNA (bases 8-68)
About the family: Transfer RNA (tRNA) molecules are approximately 80 nucleotides in length. Their secondary structure includes four short double-helical elements and three loops (D, anti-codon, and T loops).
Source: RNAcentral